RNAcentral lists this ribosomal RNA (520 nucleotides) under uncultured Acaulospora. Its description in RNAcentral is "SSU rRNA". It matches the Rfam family "Eukaryotic small subunit ribosomal RNA", at positions 569 to 1088 of the family's 1831-position model. The record is from RNAcentral. Lineage: Eukaryota; Fungi; Glomeromycota; Glomeromycetes; Diversisporales; Acaulosporaceae.
AGCAGCCGCGGUAAUUCCAGCUCCAAUAGCGUAUAUUAAAGUUGUUGCAGUUAAAAAGCUCGUAGUUGAAUUUCGGAAUUUGUCAGUUGGUCGGGCUUAACUGUCCGUACUGAUUUGAUGAAUUCUUACCUUCUGAAUAACCAGCAUGCUAUUAAGUUAGUGCGUUGGGGAAGCAGAUCUAUUACCUUGAAAAAAUUAGAGUGCUUAAAGCGGGCUAGUGCUUGAAUAGAUUAGCAUGGAAUAAUAAAAUAGGACGGCAUGGUUCUAUUUUGUUGGUUUCUAGGAUCACCGUAAUGAUUAAUAGGGAUAGUUGGGGGCAUUAGUAUUCAAUUGUCAGAGGUGAAAUUCUUGGAUUUAUUGAAGACUAACUUCUGCGAAAGCAUUUGCCAAGGAUGUUUUCAUUAAUCAAGAACGAAAGUUAGGGGAUCGAAGACGAUCAGAUACCGUCGUAGUCUUAACCAUAAACUAUGCCGACUAGGAAUCGGACGAAGUUAAUUUUUUAAUGACUCGUUCGGCACCU